RNAcentral lists this ribosomal RNA (99 nucleotides) under Actinomycetota bacterium. RNAcentral describes it as "partial 23S ribosomal RNA". It matches the Rfam family "Bacterial large subunit ribosomal RNA", at positions 2826 to 2925 of the family's 2925-position model. The record is from RNAcentral. Lineage: Bacteria; Bacillati; Actinomycetota.
GGGUAAGACUCCUUAUAGAACAUGAGGUUGAUAGGUCAGAAGUGUAAGUACAGUAAUGUAUGUAGCUGACUGAUACUAAUAAGUCGAGGGCUUGAACUG